UACGUAGGGUGCAAACGUUGCUCGGAAUCAUUGGGCGUAAAGCGCACGUAGGCGGCUAUGAAAGUUGGAUGUGAAAGCCCUGGGCUCAACCCAGGAAGUGCAUCCAAAACUUCAUAGCUUGAGUCUCGGAGGGGCCCAGAGAAUUCCCGGUGUAGAGGUGAAAUUCGUAGAUAUCGGGAGGAAUACCAGUGGCGAAGGCGCUGGGCUGGACGACGACUGACGCUGAGGUGCGAAAGCGUGGGGAGCAAACAGG
This 253-nucleotide ribosomal RNA is filed under the name uncultured bacterium. Its description in RNAcentral is "partial 16S ribosomal RNA". It matches the Rfam family "Bacterial small subunit ribosomal RNA", at positions 524 to 776 of the family's 1533-position model. The record is from RNAcentral.